Molecule: ribosomal RNA, 449 nt
Filed under: uncultured bacterium
Lineage: Bacteria
Description: bacterial SSU rRNA
Rfam family: Bacterial small subunit ribosomal RNA
Source: RNAcentral
GUGGGGAAUAUUGGACAAUGGGCGAAAGCCUGAUCCAGCCAUGCCGCGUGUGUGAAGAAGGUCUUCGGAUUGUAAAGCACUUUAAGUUGGGAGGAAGGGCAGUAAGUUAAUACCUUGCUGUUUUGACGUUACCGACAGAAUAAGCACCGGCUAACUUCGUGCCAGCAGCCGCGGUAAUACGAAGGGUGCAAGCGUUAAUCGGAAUACUGGGCGUAAAGCGCGCGUAGGUGGUUUUGUAAGUUGGAGGUGAAAUCCCCGGGCUCAACCUGGGAACUGCCUCCAAAACUGCAUGACUAGAGUACGGUAGAGGGUAGUGGAAUUUCCUGUGUAGCGGUGAAAUGCGUAGAUAUAGGAAGGAACACCAGUGGCGAAGGCGACUACCUGGACUGAUACUGACACUGAGGUGCGAAAGCGUGGGGAGCAAACAGGAUUAGAUACCCCAGUAGUCC